Molecule: ribosomal RNA, 439 nt
Filed under: uncultured Rubrivirga sp.
Lineage: Bacteria; Pseudomonadati; Rhodothermota; Rhodothermia; Rhodothermales; Rubricoccaceae
Description: bacterial SSU rRNA
Rfam family: Bacterial small subunit ribosomal RNA
Source: RNAcentral
CCUACGGGGGGCAGCAGUAGGGAAUCUUCCGCAAUGGGCGCAAGCCUGACGGAGCAACGCCGCGUGAAUGACGAAGGCCUUCGGGUUGUAAAAUUCUGUCUUCUGUGAAGAACAAGCCUGUGAGUGGAAAGCUCAGGCCUUGACGGUAACAGAGGAGGAAGCCCCGGCUAACUACGUGCCAGCAGCCGCGGUAAUACGUAGGGGGCAAGCGUUGUCCGGAAUCACUGGGCGUAAAGCGCGCGCAGGCGGCCAUCUGCGUCCGGGGUGAAAGCCCAGAGCUCAACUCUGGGACUGCCUUGGAUACGGGGUGGCUUGAGGAUCGGAGAGGCAAGGGGAAUUCCACGUGUAGCGGUGAAAUGCGUAGAGAUGUGGAGGAACACCUGUGGCGAAGGCGCCUUGCUGGCCGAUUUCUGACGCUGAGGCGCGAAAGCGUGGGGAG